UCGAUUAUUGGGCGUAAGCGUCCUGAGGCUGGCUUACCCAGUCGACUGUGAAAGCUCAAGGCUUAACCUUGAAACUGCAGUCGAUACUUGUWAGCUUGAGURCGGUAGGGGCAGAGGGAAUUCCCGGAGGAGAGGUGAAAUUCGUAGAUAUCUGGAGGAASGCCARUGGCGAAAGCAGCUCUGCUGGGCCGAUUACUGACACUGASAGACGAAAGCUAGGGGAGCGAAAGGGAUUAGAUACCCCGUGUAGUCCUAGCCGUAAACGAUGGAUACUAAGUGUUGCGCGACUCAGAACGUGCAGUGCUGCAGCUAACGCGGUAAGUAUCCCGCCUGGGGAGUAUGCCCGCAGAGGGUGAAACUCAAAGGAAGUUGGCGGGGGAGCACAACA
RNAcentral lists this ribosomal RNA (388 nucleotides) under uncultured bacterium. RNAcentral describes it as "bacterial SSU rRNA". It matches the Rfam family "Bacterial small subunit ribosomal RNA", at positions 547 to 928 of the family's 1533-position model. The record is from RNAcentral.